This is a long non-coding RNA of Capra hircus (goat), 846 nucleotides long. RefSeq lists it as uncharacterized. The record is from RefSeq and is a predicted model, not a curated record. NCBI's taxonomy places the organism in Eukaryota, Metazoa, Chordata, Mammalia, Artiodactyla, Bovidae. The transcript has 2 exons.
CAGCUCAGCGGGGCUGACCACGGGGCCGGGGCAGACAGGCACGGCCCGGCCCAGCGCGACCACGGAGUCCAGUUCUGGGGCCUUGGCCUCUCCUCCCCUGGGCCACAGGCCCCAGCUGGGACCCACAGGAGGGACUCUCACAGCCAGACCCCCCGAGGGGCCUGCCUGGCCAUCACCUGAUCUCGGCUUCCCGAGUGGCUCAGUGGUAAAGAAUCCGCCUGCCAAUACAGGAGACUCGGGUUCAAUCCCCCGGGUCGGAAAGAUUCCCUGGAGGAGGGCAUGGCAACCCACUCCAGUAUUCUUGCCUGGAGGAUCCCAUCGACAGGGGGGCCUGGCAGGCUGCAGUCCAGGGGAUUGCCAAGAGUCGGACACGACGGAGCCCCCGAGCACAGUGGCGACAGGCAUAGGCCAGAGCCUCUGUCACCUUCGCCGUUUCCAAGUGUACAGUCGGUGGGAUGAGUCACCUUCAGUUUGUGCAGCCACCACCCCUGUCUGCUCCCGGAAACUUGUCACCCUCCCGAUCUGAAAUUCUGCGUCUGUAAAACAAUCGCCCCCAACUCUGUCCCCACUGCUGGGUUUCAGUCUGAACAGAUGUGCCCGUGUGGAGCAUUCCCCACAGAUGGAAUCACACCGCUCUUGUCCUUCUGUGACUUCACACAGCGUCUUGUUCCCAAGGCUCGUCCGUGUGGUCACGGCGUCUGCUUCAUCCCUCGCUGGCUGAACACUGUUCCACUGAGCGGCCGGACCGCCGGUGUCAUUCACCCGACAUUCGUCAGUGGCUGGACACCCGGGUUGUUCCCCGUUUUCGGUUAUUGUGAAGAAUAAUAAUGAUGGCCUGUUCUCAGC